Molecule: non-coding RNA, 33 nt
Filed under: Mus musculus (house mouse)
Lineage: Eukaryota; Metazoa; Chordata; Mammalia; Rodentia; Muridae
Source: RNAcentral
UAAUCUCCUUUCUAGAUGUUAAGACUUUACACC